AAGACUAUGCUUUCAGGGAUCAUUUCUGUAGUUCAUUACUAGACAAGUCUGUCUGGAUGUGGAGAGCACUGGAAAUCAUGAGGACGAGGUGCAACAUUCUCCCCUGAGUGUGAAGCCGACGCUUGGUGUUGCUUUACUGCAAUUGCCACUUGCCGACACUUGGUGUUGCUUUAUUGCAAUUGCCACCUGCCAUUGAUGAUCAUUCUCCCUUCGGGGGCUAAGAGGGAGGGAACACAGUCUGAGUGGU
Molecule: non-coding RNA, 247 nt
Organism: Otolemur garnettii (small-eared galago)
Lineage: Eukaryota; Metazoa; Chordata; Mammalia; Primates; Galagidae
Source: Rfam